CUGAAGGUAGAGAAAAUGAUGUAAAAAAUGAGGAAAACCAUACCACAACUAGGCGUGCAGAUUGGGAGAGAAAAACGGCAGAAAAAAUGAAACUCCGACGAGAUCAGCAACGGUUCCGGCUCCGGCGAGGUGAGCUCUAGGGUUUUUGAAACAGAUGAAAAAGAGUGAUAAAAGAAAUUAGAGUUUUAUAAUAUGGAUAUUGGGUUUAUAUAGUGUGAUAGAAAAAGAGGGGUAGGAAGAGAAAUAAAAGAUUUUUAAGUUCUUUUAUAUGGGUAAUAAAUUAAAGCGAUUUGGAUUUUCAGCUUUAAACGUAUGAGUGAAACUAGAAGAGAUAGAAAAUAGGGGAAUCAAGUGAUGGACCCCUCUAAACAUAUAUUAGAUGUGUUUAUAUACAAUUGAGUUUAAGAUUAGAUCUUAACUGAAUUCAGUUCAGAUCUAAUCUACACGAACUAAUUACAAUUAGUAUUAGUAUUAUAAAGACUAAAACGUAAUUACAAACAAAUGAAAACAAAUAGCAUUAUUUAUUAUUACUAAUAGUCCCCCUCAAGCUCAUCUGUGGUAACUGAUGAGGUUGACUCUUAGCUCCAUGAAUGAUAAUGGUUUUAAUGCCUUAGUUAGUGUAUCAGCUCGUUGCAUGGUAUUUGGAAUAUGAAUAACUUGGAUAACCUUCUUCUCCACCCUUUCCCAUACAAAAUUGAAAUCAAGCUCAGCAUGCUUGAUUUUAGUGUGAAACACAUGGUUUGUUUUGGUAUGGGAGAUAUAUUACAAGCAUAUCUCUGAAUUUUCUUGACUAUUCUCCUAGAUGCUCUAGUGAUAGGUAUGUGUUUUGUCACUAAAUUUUCUGCCUUCUUUGGAUUAUACUCUUCUUCAGAGCUCGAUCCAGAGUUAUCAAAUCCUUCAUCCAUAUUAUUUUCCACUGCAACAAGUGCUCUUCUACUGUACUGAAUUAGUGGUAACUCAUCUGUAGUAGAAGUGAUAGGAAGUCCAAACUGUAUAGUAGAUUCAUAAGCCACUGCAUGUUCUGAAAUAUCUGUCACUGCUUGUUCUGAAUUGUCAUUUAUUCUGCUCUGUUCAGACUCUUCUUCACCCUCAUCUGACUCACUCUCCUCUACCUAAACUGAUUGCGUUGGAAACUGAGAAAUAAUUGUUUUCUUUGACUGAAAUUUAUUUUCUUCAAAAAUUACAUCUUUGGAAAUCAAUGUCUUCCCAUUCCUCAUAUCCAUGCAUAUAUAUCCAUCACAAGUGACUGGAUAUCCUAGAAAAACAUAGGGAGUUGAUUUGUCACUCAAUUUAUUUUCCCUAUAUGGUCUGAGAUUGGGAUAACAUAUUGCUUCGAAUAUCUUCAACUUAUAAUAAUCAGGGGUCUUGAGAUAUAGAGCUUGAUAAGGUGAUAUACCUUUUAAUAUUUCAGUGGGGUUUCUGUUGUAUAGAUAGACAGAUGCCAUGAAUGCAUAGUCCCAGAAGUGUGUUUCCAACCCUGCAUGCUUUACCAUAGCCAGUCUGUGUCUGCGCUCUACCUUCUCCAUCUGAGGGUGAGUGUGUGGACAACUGAGACGAUGUAUUAUUCCAUUACUCCUUAACAGUUUUGACAGUUUUGAAAACUCUUUAGCAUUAUCAGUUUGGAGAGCUUUUAUAUUCCUGUCAUAUUGAUUUUUAGCCAUACAUUUAAAUUGCACAAAACAUUCUUCAACUUCAGAUUUUCUUCUCAUUAAGAAAAUCCAAUUGUAACUAGUUGAAGCAUCCACAAAAUUUACAUAAUACCUAUAUCCUUCAGUGGAUUCAGUUGGGGCAGGGCCCCACACAUCAGCAAAAAUAAGUUCAAGUGGAGUAUUGAUGGAAUUCUCACAGUCCAGUCCAUCUUGAAUAUCUGCCUUUCUGUCUGUAAUAUGGUUUGUUGAGCCAGAAUCAGCAAAUCAAGAUCAUGCAUUUGACAUCAUAUUCACUGAAUUCUCAGUGCUCUCUUGCCCUGCAUUUUCACAGUUCUCAUAUAUAACAUUUACAGACAUUUCUUUAAUCAUACCUGUCUCAGGGUACCGAACUGACAAUGAUUUUUGUCAUAGUUCAAAAAGCGAAAAAGCGGUCAGCUUUUUCAGGUUCCGCUUUUUCAGCUUUAAACGCUUUAGCGUGCUUAAAGCUGAAAAAGCGAUAAUAGCAUUUUUGUAAAUAAAUGUAAUUUUUUUUAAAAUUACAUAUAUACCCCCUGUUUAUAUAUAUAUUUUUUAAACCUGUAAAUAUAUGAUAAAAUCAUAAAACAUAUGGUGUUAAGUAGGUUCAGCCCGAAUUAUAAUAAAAUGAUAAAAAUUAAAAAAAAAAUUGAGGAUGGCCGGAAUCCGCCCAAAACAGCCCGGAUUCCGGCCAUCUUUUUAUCCCUUUUCAGACGGUCUACAAGUAAAGAAAUUGAUGGAAAAGUUGAGAACAUUCAUACCACUAGUAGACGUGAAGAUCGGAGGAGAAAAACUAAGUCAGGCGGCGACUCCGGCGAGGUCAGGUACGGCUCCGGCGAGGUCUACCGACGGCUCUAGGGUUUUGGAAGAAAUAAAAGUGAGAGUGAUAAAGGAAAUUAGGGUUUUAUUAGAAGGGUAUUGGGUUUAUAUAGUUAGAUAGAAAUUGGAGGGGUAGGAAGGGAAAUUAAAAUAGUUUAAGUUAUUUCACAUGUGUAAUGGGUUGCCCCAACCCAAUAACC
Molecule: long non-coding RNA, 2683 nt
Filed under: Zostera marina
Lineage: Eukaryota; Viridiplantae; Streptophyta; Magnoliopsida; Alismatales; Zosteraceae
Description: long non-coding RNA (ZMAR_LNC001375)
Source: RNAcentral